GAUGACGGCCUUCGGGUUGUAAACCUCUUUUAGCAAGGAAGAAGCGAAAGUGACGGUACUUGCAGAAAAAGCGCCGGCUAACUACGUGCCAGCAGCCGCGGUAAUACGUAGGGCGCAAGCGUUAUCCGGAAUUAUUGGGCGUAAAGAGCUCGUAGGCGGUUUGUCGCGUCUGCUGUGAAAUCCCGAGGCUCAACCUCGGGCCUGCAGUGGGUACGGGCAGACUAGAGUGCGGUAGGGGAGAUUGGAAUUCCUGGUGUAGCGGUGGAAUGCGCAGAUAUCAGGAGGAACACCGAUGGCGAAGGCAGAUCUCUGGGCCGUAACUGACGCUGAGGAGCGAAAGGGUGGGGAGCAAACAGGCUUAGAUACCCUGGUAGUCCACCCCGUAAACGUUGGGAACUAGUUGUGGGGUCCAUUCCACGGAUUCCGUGACGCAGCUAACGCAUUAAGUUCCCCGCCUGGGGAGUACGGCCGCAAGGCUA
RNAcentral lists this ribosomal RNA (479 nucleotides) under uncultured bacterium. RNAcentral's name for it is "bacterial SSU rRNA". It matches the Rfam family "Bacterial small subunit ribosomal RNA", at positions 407 to 896 of the family's 1533-position model. The record is from RNAcentral.